GCCUAAAGGGGCCGUAGCCGGACCGAUGUGGCUCCCAUGAAAUCCACGGGCAUAACCCGUAGGCGCGCGGGGGCUACUAUCGGUCUUGGGGACAGGAGAAGCUAGGAGUAUCCCGGGGGGAGCGGUGAAAUGCUGUAAUCCCCGGAGGACUACCCCCGGCGAAAGCGCCUAGCUAUCCUGCUCCCGACGGUGAGGGCCGAAAGCUGGGGGAUCAAAUGGGGUUAGAGACCCCAGCAGCCCCUGCUGUCAACGCUGCGGGCUAUCUGCCGGGAGGGCUUAGAGCCCUUUCGGUGGAGUAGGGAAGCCGUUAAGCCCGCCGCCUGGGGAGUACGGCCGCAAGGCUGAAACUUAAAGGAAUAGGCGGGGGGGCAUACAAGGGGUGGGGUGUGCGGUUUAAUGGGAACUGACACCGGAAACC
RNAcentral lists this ribosomal RNA (418 nucleotides) under uncultured Nanoarchaeota archaeon. RNAcentral's name for it is "SSU rRNA". It matches the Rfam family "Archaeal small subunit ribosomal RNA", at positions 508 to 926 of the family's 1478-position model. Lineage: Archaea; Nanobdellati; Nanobdellota. The record is from RNAcentral.